AGCAGCCGCGGUAAUUCCAGCUCCAAUAGCGUAUAUUAAAGUUGUUGCAGUUAAAAAGCUCGUAGUUGAACUUCGGGAUCAAUGGAUUGGUCAUGCCGUUGGUAUGUACUGGUCGUAUUGGUUCUCACCUUCUAAGGAACCAUAAUGUCAUUAAUUUGAUGUUUUGGGGAAUUAGGACUGUUACCUUGAAAAAAU
Molecule: ribosomal RNA, 195 nt
Filed under: uncultured Septoglomus
Lineage: Eukaryota; Fungi; Glomeromycota; Glomeromycetes; Glomerales; Glomeraceae
Description: partial 18S ribosomal RNA
Rfam family: Eukaryotic small subunit ribosomal RNA
Source: RNAcentral